GCUUGUCUAGCUCAGUUGAUAUAGUGUAAGACUCUUAACCUUAAGGUCGUGGGUUCAAGCCCCACCGUGAGUG
Molecule: transfer RNA, 73 nt
Filed under: Zea mays
Lineage: Eukaryota; Viridiplantae; Streptophyta; Magnoliopsida; Poales; Poaceae
Rfam family: tRNA
About the family: Transfer RNA (tRNA) molecules are approximately 80 nucleotides in length. Their secondary structure includes four short double-helical elements and three loops (D, anti-codon, and T loops).
Source: Rfam by way of RNAcentral